UGGGGAAUAUUCCGCAAUGGACGAAAGUCUGACGGAGCGACGCCGCGUGAGUGAUGAAGGUUUUCGGACUGUAAAGCUCUGUUGUUUAGGACGAAAGUGCCUGUUGCGAACAGUUACAGGUAUUGACGGUACUAAACGAGGAAGCCACGGCUAACUACGUGCCAGCAGCCGCGGUAAUACGUAGGUGGCAAGCGUUGUCCGGAAUUAUUGGGCGUAAAGAGCAUGUAGGCGGAGAUUUAAGUCUGUUGUGAAAAUGCGGGGCUCAACCCCGUAUUGCGAUGGAAACUGAAUUUCUUGAGUGCAGGAGAGGGAAGGGGAAUUCCCAGUGUAGCGGUGAAAUGCGUAGAUAUUGGGAGGAACACCAGUGGCGAAGGCGCCUUUCUGGACUGUGUCUGACGCCGAGAUGCGAAAGCCAGGGUAGCGAACGG
RNAcentral lists this ribosomal RNA (428 nucleotides) under uncultured bacterium. Its description in RNAcentral is "bacterial SSU rRNA". It matches the Rfam family "Bacterial small subunit ribosomal RNA", at positions 355 to 775 of the family's 1533-position model. The record is from RNAcentral.